CGGGACGGGUGAGUAAUGCUUGGGAAUCUAGCUUAUGGAGGGGGGUAACUACGGGAAACUGUAGCUAAUACCGCGUAAUAUCGAAAGAUUAAAGUGUGGGACCUUCGGGCCACAUGCCAUAGGAUGAGCCCAAGUGGGAUUAGGUAGUUGGUGAGGUAAAGGCUCACCAAGCCGACGAUCUCUAGCUGGUCUGAGAGGAUGACCAGCCACACUGGGACUGAGACACGGCCCAG
Molecule: ribosomal RNA, 233 nt
Filed under: uncultured bacterium
Lineage: Bacteria
Description: partial 16S ribosomal RNA
Rfam family: Bacterial small subunit ribosomal RNA
Source: RNAcentral